AGAUUGGUGGUUAGCAUUGAUACAUGGAGGCUUAAUCUUCCUUGAUUCAAAUCUAAUUCAUCUUGAUCAUGGAUCAAGUGAAUGGCUUUGCAUUAAGGAUAGAUUGCUUCCUAAAUCAUGCAAAGAACCUAAAUCAAUACAAGAUCAUUUCUCAUCCUCUUUUUGGCAUGGCAAGUUGUUGGAGUUUGAUUCACUAAUCAAGACCUCUAACUUG
This 214-nucleotide long non-coding RNA is filed under the name Lathyrus oleraceus (garden pea). RNAcentral describes it as "Pisum sativum (pea) long non-coding RNA (PSAT_LNC031440)". Lineage: Eukaryota; Viridiplantae; Streptophyta; Magnoliopsida; Fabales; Fabaceae. The record is from RNAcentral.